CGAAAGCGGACCGACGCUUCGGAGAGCCUUCACAGGUGCUGCAUGGCUGUCGUCAGCUCGUGCCGUGAGGUGUCGGGUUAAGUCCCGUAACGAGCGCAACCCUUGCCCUUAGUUACAAGUGUCUAGGGGGACUGCCGGCGGGAAGCCGGAGGAAGGUGGGGAUGACGUCAAGUCAGCAUGGCCCUUAUAUCCAGGGCUACACACACGCUACAAUGGUCGGUACAAAGGGCAGCGAAGCCGCGAGGUGGAGCGAAUCCCAGCAAAGCCGACCGUAGUACGGAUAGCAGGCUGCAACUCGCCUGCUUGAAGCUGGAGUUGCUAGUAACCGCGCGUCAGCAUAGUGCGGUGAAUACGUUCCCGGGGCUU
RNAcentral lists this ribosomal RNA (366 nucleotides) under uncultured Anaerolineaceae bacterium. Its description in RNAcentral is "bacterial SSU rRNA". It matches the Rfam family "Bacterial small subunit ribosomal RNA", at positions 1002 to 1382 of the family's 1533-position model. Lineage: Bacteria; Bacillati; Chloroflexota; Anaerolineae; Anaerolineales; Anaerolineaceae. The record is from RNAcentral.